RNAcentral lists this long non-coding RNA (1926 nucleotides) under Equus caballus (horse). RNAcentral's name for it is "lncRNA (ENSECAG00000051527.1)". Lineage: Eukaryota; Metazoa; Chordata; Mammalia; Perissodactyla; Equidae. The record is from RNAcentral.
GGCUCUCAUUUCCUCGUGGGCGGGGCCGGGGCUCCUUGUCGUGUGCUGGCAACGGCCAGAGAAACCAUCAACCUGUCAGCUUUGAGGGCAGUGGAGUGUAGCCGCCAACCGUGAUGCAGAAAGGGCCCCGACAUCACUUCGAGGACAUCGCUAGGUCGAGAGUAAGAAAGAGAAGGAAAAUAUUAAAACAGGAAGGUGGGGGUCGAGGGCGCGUCCCUGCUGGGAGGUGGGAGCCGCUUCAGUUCUCCUGCUUGUCUUCCCCACAAGACUGUAAAUCCACAGAGGGCAAGACUCUUGUUCUGACUCUGCCAUAACAGGAACGAUAACAAGAUCGACAUGCUUCCUGCCUUCCUGACUCCGAUGUCACACUGAGUCCUGAACACAUGCACGUGGAGGGAUGGCAGACAUCGGCAGGCCGUUUUCGUUCUCUUCUCUCUGGCACUUCCGUGGCUCAACAACUUGGAGGCAGCACAGUGGAAUGCAAAGAACACUCAAUUUGGAUCCCAACGGAGAUGGAUUGGUAUCCUGGCUCCACCAACUGCUCUGUCGAGUUAUUUCACCUCAUCGAACUUCGUCUUCCCAUCUAUUUCAUAAGCAUAACAGCAACCUGUGCAGAGAGCCUGGUGAGGAUCCGGGGGCGAGGAUUUGGGGACCUACCAUACAUCCGUGCUAUAUAGGUGCUAGGCUCAGAGCAGGUGCCCAAAAGUGGACGUUUCCAAUUUCUUGCCCUCAGACACCUUUUUGUCUCUGCCUCCAUCUUGGCCUCUAGUAGCACACGCUGGGGUUCUGGUUCCUGGGAAGAUGAAAUGCCACAAAAAUGAAAUUCUAGAAAACCUUGCACAAAACCAUAAAACUCAGAUCUCUGACCUUUAGUCCUUUAAAUGUUCACACACAAGGCCUGGAAGAUUUUAAUUCAAUCCAAUUCAAUUCAGUUCCACAAACGCUCACCUCCCACUUCCGCACCUGACACUGAGCUGGCCCUGGGGACGCAGGACUCCUGUCUCAAGAUGCUCACGCUCAGGUUCUGGGAGAAGGGACAGAUAUUUCAGUGCACAGUUUGAAACCUAGUACCCGUAAGUGCAACAACUGUGUACAAGGCUCCACGUGACACAGUGAAAAUCGGGUGGGCGAAGGCAAGCGGCCACGAGAGGCUUCUCAGAGGAAGUAACGAAUAAGCUGAAUUGUGAAGGAGGAGUCGGUGGGCCUGUGGGGAGGAAGUAAGAAAGGCCUUUGCAGCAGGGGGGCCAGACUGUGAACGAGGUGGAGAGGCUGUGCUGCUUGUUGGAAGGACUGGAGAACAAUUUCAUAGCAUCACAUGCAGAGCUGUUGGGUUGUUCUCCAAAACUUACUGGACUUCAGGACAAUUGGAGAGCAUUGUGGGCCGGAGCGUUUGCAGGACAGCCUCUUGGGUAAUGUGGGCCUCUGCUAAUUUAGAAGUCCUCACUGCCCGGCCCCAGCAUCUCCCUUGGAUGAUGCUAGGUAAGGUUUACAUAUUUCGCAAGUCUUUCUCCUACUCCUUUUUUCACAGAUAGUAUCCUAGGGUGAUUCAUUCUUUUAUUCAAAAAUAACUUUUUGAUAGCCCCUGGAAUGAGCCAGGUCCUCUGUGCGUGUUGGCUCUGCAGAGCAGAAACCUGUAAAUGUUCUUCUCAGUCCACUGGGAGGGUGGAUGUGUAAGCAGAUGACUACAAUGCCAGUGGCACCUGCUGAGACAGAGGGCCCAGAGGGCUAGCGUGACCUCACUUCCAGCGGUACUCACGAGCCGGGGCAGAAUCUUCAGUCCUUGGUGGAAAAGCCUUUCUACUUGAUUAAAUUCAAUUUAUAUGCUAAUUGCCUUCUCCACCCACAAAAUCAGCUUUUGGAAAAAGGAGGUGCGGAGGUUUCAAUGGGUGAGUGGGAGGUAGCUUUUAUUAAAUCCCCACAGCAGGG